UUAGAGACCCAUUUAUUCCGACGCAAACGUUGCUAUGCGGCUGCUUGGGGACUACGAGUGCUUAAAACUCAAAGAACUUGGCGGCUUGUUAACUACCUAGGGGAAUAUGUGCCUUAAUCCGAUAAUCCCCGUAGAAUCUUACUGUGCCUUGAAAAAGUGCAGCUGGUGUAUUGCCGUUGUCAGCUUGUUGUUAGAGCAAGAGGAACAAGCUCAAUGGAGCCGUCUCCGCGAAUUCAGGUCGUAAUACCGCCUAUGGCUCAAGGGAGUAGGUGUUACAGUUUAGAUUAAAAAUAACGGAUCUUUUGAAAUUGAAGGUGAACUUAGGAGUAAGGGAAAAUUAAUAUGUUCCCCUGAACAGACUCUGACUUGUGUACAAACUGCCCGUCGCUCUCGGCAGUUGAGAU
This 404-nucleotide ribosomal RNA is filed under the name Dentamussium obliteratum. Its description in RNAcentral is "partial 12S ribosomal RNA". It matches the Rfam family "Bacterial small subunit ribosomal RNA", at positions 778 to 1417 of the family's 1533-position model. The record is from RNAcentral. Lineage: Eukaryota; Metazoa; Mollusca; Bivalvia; Pectinida; Pectinidae.